Molecule: transfer-messenger RNA, 346 nt
Filed under: Lachnospiraceae
Lineage: Bacteria; Bacillati; Bacillota; Clostridia; Lachnospirales
Also listed under: 1 other name
Description: Oribacterium sp017940955 Standard tmRNA
Rfam family: transfer-messenger RNA
About the family: Bacterial tmRNA, also known as 10Sa RNA or SsrA, is named for its dual tRNA and mRNA-like properties. Its role is to liberate the mRNA from a stalled ribosome.
Source: RNAcentral
GGGCUAGUACCGGUUUCGACGGGGACGAUGCAGCUUUAGAAGCUAUCCGAAAGACAGUCGCGUUAAACUUCAAACCUAAAUAUAAACGCUAACGAUACAAGUUACGCAUACGCAGCUUAAUUGCUGCGUGGUCAGCCUCAUUGCACUCACACUUUGAGAACCUGGCCUCAUCUAUGUGAGAAACGACUUUAAGAGUUCCUCCUCUUAAUGGGCGUAUCAGAGGAUACCGGUCAUAACAAGACGUGCACAUCUUAGUAAUGAUGGGGAAUCUUAGAAGUGUACUAUGAUAGUAGAAGGAGAGGGAAUUUGUUUUCGGACACGGGUUCGACUCCCGUCUGGUCCACUA